Molecule: ribosomal RNA, 253 nt
Filed under: uncultured bacterium
Lineage: Bacteria
Description: partial 16S ribosomal RNA
Rfam family: Bacterial small subunit ribosomal RNA
Source: RNAcentral
UACAGAGGUCCCAAGCGUUGUUCGGAUUCACUGGGCGUAAAGGGUGCGUAGGUGGUGAGGUAAGUCGGAUGUGAAAUCUCCGAGCUCAACUCGGAAAUGGCAUUGGAAACUACCUUGCUCGAGGGUUGGAGGGGGGACUGGAAUUCUCGGUGUAGCAGUGAAAUGCGUAGAUAUCAAGCGGAACACCAGUGGCGAAGGCGAGUCCCUGGACAACUCCUGACACUGAGGCACGAAAGCUAGGGGAGCAAACAGG